Molecule: ribosomal RNA, 160 nt
Filed under: foliar endophyte of Picea glauca sp. B17
Lineage: Eukaryota; Fungi; Ascomycota
Description: 5.8S ribosomal RNA
Rfam family: 5.8S ribosomal RNA
About the family: 5.8S ribosomal RNA (5.8S rRNA) is a component of the large subunit of the eukaryotic ribosome. It is transcribed by RNA polymerase I as part of the 45S precursor that also contains 18S and 28S rRNA.
Source: RNAcentral
UUAAAACUUUCAACAACGGAUCUCUUGGUUCUCGCAUCGAUGAAGAACGCAGCGAAAUGCGAUAAGUAGUGUGAAUUGCAGAAUUCAGUGAAUCAUCGAAUCUUUGAACGCACAUUGCGCCUCCUGGUAUUCCGGGAGGCAUGCCUGUUCGAGCGUCAUG